Long non-coding RNA from Poecilia latipinna (sailfin molly), 132 nucleotides. RefSeq lists it as uncharacterized. The transcript is spliced from 3 exons. Lineage: Eukaryota; Metazoa; Chordata; Actinopteri; Cyprinodontiformes; Poeciliidae. The record is from RefSeq and is a predicted model, not a curated record.
UGACAUCUGCUGCAUUGCUUUAACUUUAAAAUUUAGAUGCAUCUAUACGUCAUCUGAUGUGCUUUUUUAAAUUGGUUUGCUUUAAUUUUGAAUAUUUGUUUGCUUAUUUUCAGCUAAGACUGAAAAAGGAAA